UUUAGCCUACGGGGCGCAGCAGUGGGGGAUAUUGCACAAUGGGGGGAACCCUGAUGCAGCGACGCCGCGUGGGUGAAGGAGCGUUUCGGCGCGUAAAGCCCUAUCGGCAGGGAAGAAGAUGACGGUACCUGACCAAGAAGCCCCGGCUAACUACGUGCCAGCAGCCGCGGUAAUACGUAGGAUGCGAGCGUUAUCCGGAUUUAUUGGGUUUAAAGGGUGCGCAGGCGGAAUGUCAAGUCAGCGGUAAAAUUUCGGGGCUCAACCCGGUCGUGCCGUUGAAACUGGCGUUCUUGAGUGAGCGAGAA
RNAcentral lists this ribosomal RNA (305 nucleotides) under uncultured bacterium. RNAcentral describes it as "bacterial SSU rRNA". It matches the Rfam family "Bacterial small subunit ribosomal RNA", at positions 332 to 656 of the family's 1533-position model. The record is from RNAcentral.